GGUUAAGCGACUAAGCGUACACGGUGGAUGCCCUGGCAGUCAGAGGCGAUGAAGGACGUGCUAAUCUGCGAUAAGCGUCGGUAAGGUGAUAUGAACCGUUAUAACCGGCGAUUUCCGAAUGGGGAAACCCAGUGUGUUUCGACACACUAUCAUUAACUGAAUCCAUAGGUUAAUGAGGCGAACCGGGGGAACUGAAACAUCUAAGUACCCCGAGGAAAAGAAAUCAACCGAGAUUCCCCCAGUAGCGGCGAGCGAACGGGGAGCAGCCCAGAGCCUGAAUCAGUAUGUGUGUUAGUGGAAGCGUCUGGAAAGGCGCGCGAUACAGGGUGACAGCCCCGUACACAAAAAUGCACAUAUUGUGAGCUCGAUGAGUAGGGCGGGACACGUGGUAUCCUGUCUGAAUAUGGGGGGACCAUCCUCCAAGGCUAAAUACUCCUGACUGACCGAUAGUGAACCAGUACCGUGAGGGAAAGGCGAAAAGAACCCCGGCGAGGGGAGUGAAAAAGAACCUGAAACCGUGUACGUACAAGCAGUGGGAGCACGCUUAGGCGUGUGACUGCGUACCUUUUGUAUAAUGGGUCAGCGACUUAUAUUCUGUAGCAAGGUUAACCGAAUAGGGGAGCCGAAGGGAAACCGAGUCUUAACUGGGCGUUAAGUUGCAGGGUAUAGACCCGAAACCCGGUGAUCUAGCCAUGGGCAGGUUGAAGGUUGGGUAACACUAACUGGAGGACCGAACCGACUAAUGUUGAAAAAUUAGCGGAUGACUUGUGGCUGGGGGUGAAAGGCCAAUCAAACCGGGAGAUAGCUGGUUCUCCCCGAAAGCUAUUUAGGUAGCGCCUCGUGAAUUCAUCUCCGGGGGUAGAGCACUGUUUCGGCAAGGGGGUCAUCCCGACUUACCAACCCGAUGCAAACUGCGAAUACCGGAGAAUGUUAUCACGGGAGACACACGGCGGGUGCUAACGUCCGUCGUGAAGAGGGAAACAACCCAGACCGCCAGCUAAGGUCCCAAAGUCAUGGUUAAGUGGGAAACGAUGUGGGAAGGCCCAGACAGCCAGGAUGUUGGCUUAGAAGCAGCCAUCAUUUAAAGAAAGCGUAAUAGCUCACUGGUCGAGUCGGCCUGCGCGGAAGAUGUAACGGGGCUAAACCAUGCACCGAAGCUGCGGCAGCGACGCUGAUGCGUUGUUGGGUAGGGGAGCGUUCUGUAAGCCUGUGAAGGUGUGCUGUGAGGCAUGCUGGAGGUAUCAGAAGUGCGAAUGCUGACAUAAGUAACGAUAAAGCGGGUGAAAAGCCCGCUCGCCGGAAGACCAAGGGUUCCUGUCCAACGUUAAUCGGGGCAGGGUGAGUCGACCCCUAAGGCGAGGCCGAAAGGCGUAGUCGAUGGGAAACAGGUUAAUAUUCCUGUACUUGGUGUUACUGCGAAGGGGGACGGAGAAGGCUAUGUUGGCCGGGCGACGGUUGUCCCGGUUUAAGCGUGUAGGCUGGUUUUCCAGGCAAAUCCGGAAAAUCAAGGCUGAGGCGUGAUGACGAGGCACUACGGUGCUGAAGCAACAAAUGCCCUGCUUCCAGGAAAAGCCUCUAAGCAUCAGGUAACAUCAAAUCGUACCCCAAACCGACACAGGUGGUCAGGUAGAGAAUACCAAGGCGCUUGAGAGAACUCGGGUGAAGGAACUAGGCAAAAUGGUGCCGUAACUUCGGGAGAAGGCACGCUGAUAUGUAGGUGAAGUCCCUCGCGGAUGGAGCUGAAAUCAGUCGAAGAUACCAGCUGGCUGCAACUGUUUAUUAAAAACACAGCACUGUGCAAACACGAAAGUGGACGUAUACGGUGUGACGCCUGCCCGGUGCCGGAAGGUUAAUUGAUGGGGUUAGCCGCAAGGCGAAGCUCUUGAUCGAAGCCCCGGUAAACGGCGGCCGUAACUAUAACGGUCCUAAGGUAGCGAAAUUCCUUGUCGGGUAAGUUCCGACCUGCACGAAUGGCGUAAUGAUGGCCAGGCUGUCUCCACCCGAGACUCAGUGAAAUUGAACUCGCUGUGAAGAUGCAGUGUACCCGCGGCAAGACGGAAAGACCCCGUGAACCUUUACUAUAGCUUGACACUGAACAUUGAGCCUUGAUGUGUAGGAUAGGUGGGAGGCUUAGAAGUGUGGACGCCAGUCUGCAUGGAGCCGACCUUGAAAUACCACCCUUUAAUGUUUGAUGUUCUAACGUUGACCCGUAAUCCGGGUUGCGGACAGUGUCUGGUGGGUAGUUUGACUGGGGCGGUCUCCUCCUAAAGAGUAACGGAGGAGCACGAAGGUUGGCUAAUCCUGGUCGGACAUCAGGAGGUUAGUGCAAUGGCAUAAGCCAGCUUGACUGCGAGCGUGACGGCGCGAGCAGGUGCGAAAGCAGGUCAUAGUGAUCCGGUGGUUCUGAAUGGAAGGGCCAUCGCUCAACGGAUAAAAGGUACUCCGGGGAUAACAGGCUGAUACCGCCCAAGAGUUCAUAUCGACGGCGGUGUUUGGCACCUCGAUGUCGGCUCAUCACAUCCUGGGGCUGAAGUAGGUCCCAAGGGUAUGGCUGUUCGCCAUUUAAAGUGGUACGCGAGCUGGGUUUAGAACGUCGUGAGACAGUUCGGUCCCUAUCUGCCGUGGGCGCUGGAGAACUGAGGGGGGCUGCUCCUAGUACGAGAGGACCGGAGUGGACGCAUCACUGGUGUUCGGGUUGUCAUGCCAAUGGCACUGCCCGGUAGCUAAAUGCGGAAGAGAUAAGUGCUGAAAGCAUCUAAGCACGAAACUUGCCCCGAGAUGAGUUCUCCCUGACUCCUUGAGAGUCCUGAAGGAACGUUGAAGACGACGACGUUGAUAGGCCGGGUGUGUAAGCGCAGCGAUGCGUUGAGCUAACCGGUACUAAUGAACCGUGAGGCUUAACCUU
RNAcentral lists this ribosomal RNA (2905 nucleotides) under Escherichia coli. Its description in RNAcentral is "23S ribosomal RNA". It matches the Rfam family "Bacterial large subunit ribosomal RNA". The record is from RNAcentral. Lineage: Bacteria; Pseudomonadati; Pseudomonadota; Gammaproteobacteria; Enterobacterales; Enterobacteriaceae.